RNAcentral lists this ribosomal RNA (2901 nucleotides) under Escherichia coli. RNAcentral's name for it is "23S ribosomal RNA". It matches the Rfam family "Bacterial large subunit ribosomal RNA". Lineage: Bacteria; Pseudomonadati; Pseudomonadota; Gammaproteobacteria; Enterobacterales; Enterobacteriaceae. The record is from RNAcentral.
UUAAGCGACUAAGCGUACACGGUGGAUGCCCUGGCAGUCAGAGGCGAUGAAGGACGUGCUAAUCUGCGAUAAGCGUCGGUGAGGUGAUAUGAACCGUUAUAACCGGCGAUUUCCGAAUGGGGAAACCCAGUGUGAUUCGUCACACUAUCAUUAACUGAAUCCAUAGGUUAAUGAGGCGAACCGGGGGAACUGAAACAUCUAAGUACCCCGAGGAAAAGAAAUCAACCGAGAUUCCCCCAGUAGCGGCGAGCGAACGGGGAGGAGCCCAGAGCCUGAAUCAGUGUGUGUGUUAGUGGAAGCGUCUGGAAAGGCGCGCGAUACAGGGUGACAGCCCCGUACACAAAAAUGCACAUAUUGUGAGCUCGAUGAGUAGGGCGGGACACGUGGUAUCCUGUCUGAAUAUGGGGGGACCAUCCUCCAAGGCUAAAUACUCCUGACUGACCGAUAGUGAACCAGUACCGUGAGGGAAAGGCGAAAAGAACCCCGGCGAGGGGAGUGAAAAAGAACCUGAAACCGUGUACGUACAAGCAGUGGGAGCCUCUUAAUGGGGUGACUGCGUACCUUUUGUAUAAUGGGUCAGCGACUUAUAUUCUGUAGCAAGGUUAACCGAAUAGGGGAGCCGAAGGGAAACCGAGUCUUAACUGGGCGUUAAGUUGCAGGGUAUAGACCCGAAACCCGGUGAUCUAGCCAUGGGCAGGUUGAAGGUUGGGUAACACUAACUGGAGGACCGAACCGACUAAUGUUGAAAAAUUAGCGGAUGACUUGUGGCUGGGGGUGAAAGGCCAAUCAAACCGGGAGAUAGCUGGUUCUCCCCGAAAGCUAUUUAGGUAGCGCCUCGUGAAUUCAUCUCCGGGGGUAGAGCACUGUUUCGGCAAGGGGGUCAUCCCGACUUACCAACCCGAUGCAAACUGCGAAUACCGGAGAAUGUUAUCACGGGAGACACACGGCGGGUGCUAACGUCCGUCGUGAAGAGGGAAACAACCCAGACCGCCAGCUAAGGUCCCAAAGUCAUGGUUAAGUGGGAAACGAUGUGGGAAGGCCCAGACAGCCAGGAUGUUGGCUUAGAAGCAGCCAUCAUUUAAAGAAAGCGUAAUAGCUCACUGGUCGAGUCGGCCUGCGCGGAAGAUGUAACGGGGCUAAACCAUGCACCGAAGCUGCGGCAGCGACACUAUGUGUUGUUGGGUAGGGGAGCGUUCUGUAAGCCUGUGAAGGUGUACUGUGAGGUAUGCUGGAGGUAUCAGAAGUGCGAAUGCUGACAUAAGUAACGAUAAAGCGGGUGAAAAGCCCGCUCGCCGGAAGACCAAGGGUUCCUGUCCAACGUUAAUCGGGGCAGGGUGAGUCGACCCCUAAGGCGAGGCCGAAAGGCGUAGUCGAUGGGAAACAGGUUAAUAUUCCUGUACUUGGUGUUACUGCGAAGGGGGGACGGAGAAGGCUAUGUUGGCCGGGCGACGGUUGUCCCGGUUUAAGCGUGUAGGCUGGUUUUCCAGGCAAAUCCGGAAAAUCAAGGCUGAGGCGUGAUGACGAGGCACUACGGUGCUGAAGCGACAAAUGCCCUGCUUCCAGGAAAAGCCUCUAAGCAUCAGGUAACAUCAAAUCGUACCCCAAACCGACACAGGUGGUCAGGUAGAGAAUACCAAGGCGCUUGAGAGAACUCGGGUGAAGGAACUAGGCAAAAUGGUGCCGUAACUUCGGGAGAAGGCACGCUGAUAUGUAGGUGAAGCGACUUGCUCGUGGAGCUGAAAUCAGUCGAAGAUACCAGCUGGCUGCAACUGUUUAUUAAAAACACAGCACUGUGCAAACACGAAAGUGGACGUAUACGGUGUGACGCCUGCCCGGUGCCGGAAGGUUAAUUGAUGGGGUUAGCGGUAACGCGAAGCUCUUGAUCGAAGCCCCGGUAAACGGCGGCCGUAACUAUAACGGUCCUAAGGUAGCGAAAUUCCUUGUCGGGUAAGUUCCGACCUGCACGAAUGGCGUAAUGAUGGCCAGGCUGUCUCCACCCGAGACUCAGUGAAAUUGAACUCGCUGUGAAGAUGCAGUGUACCCGCGGCAAGACGGAAAGACCCCGUGAACCUUUACUAUAGCUUGACACUGAACAUUGAGCCUUGAUGUGUAGGAUAGGUGGGAGGCUUUGAAGUGUGGACGCCAGUCUGCAUGGAGCCGACCUUGAAAUACCACCCUUUAAUGUUUGAUGUUCUAACGUGGGCCCCUUACCGGGGUUGCGGACAGUGUCUGGUGGGUAGUUUGACUGGGGCGGUCUCCUCCUAAAGAGUAACGGAGGAGCACGAAGGUUGGCUAAUCCUGGUCGGACAUCAGGAGGUUAGUGCAAUGGCAUAAGCCAGCUUGACUGCGAGCGUGACGGCGCGAGCAGGUGCGAAAGCAGGUCAUAGUGAUCCGGUGGUUCUGAAUGGAAGGGCCAUCGCUCAACGGAUAAAAGGUACUCCGGGGAUAACAGGCUGAUACCGCCCAAGAGUUCAUAUCGACGGCGGUGUUUGGCACCUCGAUGUCGGCUCAUCACAUCCUGGGGCUGAAGUAGGUCCCAAGGGUAUGGCUGUUCGCCAUUUAAAGUGGUACGCGAGCUGGGUUUAGAACGUCGUGAGACAGUUCGGUCCCUAUCUGCCGUGGGCGCUGGAGAACUGAGGGGGGCUGCUCCUAGUACGAGAGGACCGGAGUGGACGCAUCACUGGUGUUCGGGUUGUCAUGCCAAUGGCACUGCCCGGUAGCUAAAUGCGGAAGAGAUAAGUGCUGAAAGCAUCUAAGCACGAAACUUGCCCCGAGAUGAGUUCUCCCUGACUCCUUGAGAGUCCUGAAGGAACGUUGAAGACGACGACGUUGAUAGGCCGGGUGUGUAAGCGCAGCGAUGCGUUGAGCUAACCGGUACUAAUGAACCGUGAGGCUUAACCU